Molecule: unclassified non-coding RNA, 280 nt
Filed under: Hevea brasiliensis (rubber tree)
Lineage: Eukaryota; Viridiplantae; Streptophyta; Magnoliopsida; Malpighiales; Euphorbiaceae
Source: RNAcentral
UUAUUCUCCUUAUUAGUCAUAACACCUUCCUGACCAGUUCAUUUUCAUGCUUUGGUUCAGUCUAAAUUUUAUUGCAAGUAAAUAAUUUCAUUACUUUAUGAUUUAGAGCAUGGAACCAUUCAAGCUUAUAUAAGAUUUUGGAUUUUGAUUUGGUCUGAAAACUGGUUGAUUAGAUGAUGGAAAAUCAUUACUGUUAUGGUACUUAAUACAAUGUUUCUCAUGUCGACAUGUCGACUGAUAUGUGAUUUCUUAAUGUUGCUUUUAUUUUUGCAGAACUUGA